This 506-nucleotide ribosomal RNA is filed under the name uncultured bacterium. RNAcentral describes it as "partial 16S ribosomal RNA". It matches the Rfam family "Bacterial small subunit ribosomal RNA", at positions 28 to 523 of the family's 1533-position model. The record is from RNAcentral.
GAUGAACGCUAGCUACAGGCUUAACACAUGCAAGUCGAGGGGUAACGAGAGGAAAGCUUGCUUUCCUUGUCGACGACCGGCGCACGGGUGAGUAACGCGUAUCCAACCUGCCCCCAACUAAGGAAUAACCUUGCGAAAGUAAGACUAAUACCUUAUAAUUUCCUCAGAUGUCAUCUGACGAGGACUAAAGAUUUAUCGGUUGUGGUUGGGGAUGCGUCUGAUUAGCUUGUUGGCGGGGUAACGGCCCACCAAGGCAACGAUCAGUAGGGGUUCUGAGAGGAAGGUCCCCCACAUUGGAACUGAGACACGGUCCAAACUCCUACGGGAGGCAGCAGUGAGGAAUAUUGGUCAAUGGGCGGAAGCCUGAACCAGCCAAGUAGCGUGCAGGAUGACGGCCCUAUGGGUUGUAAACUGCUUUUAUACAGGAAUAAAGUUAGCCACGUGUGGUUAUUUGUAGGUACUGUAUGAAUAAGGACCGGCUAAUUCCGUGCCAGCCGCCGCGGUAA